RNAcentral lists this transfer RNA (54 nucleotides) under Diximermis spiculatus. Its description in RNAcentral is "tRNA-Pro". The record is from RNAcentral. Lineage: Eukaryota; Metazoa; Nematoda; Enoplea; Mermithida; Mermithidae.
UAGAUUUUAGUGUCAAAAGCAUAUUAUUUUUGGAUAAUAAUGGAUUUAAUCUAA